RNAcentral lists this long non-coding RNA (715 nucleotides) under Homo sapiens (human). RNAcentral's name for it is "HSALNT0295443". Lineage: Eukaryota; Metazoa; Chordata; Mammalia; Primates; Hominidae. The record is from RNAcentral.
GAACACAUGACUGCUUAGUCUGUGAGGAAUGGAGGAACGCAGGAACUUAGCAAGGGAGGCAAGUGGUUAUACAGGGGGAAAAGCAGCCAUCUGAGAUAAUUUAUUGAGUAUACUUAUGUGCCAGGCUCUGGACCAGAGACUCUGGGUGAUACAACCCUGAAAGGCAGCAGAAAACAUGCUUGCUCUUCUUACUCAAGCAAGAGAGGGCCAGCCUCCUAGAAAAUGUUUACAAGCUUCAAAGAAGACGUGCUUGCAUGGGACAGCACGAGAAACAUCCCCAGGUUUUCUAUCUGGGGAGGGACAUGGCAGAAGCAGUAUUUUGGGAAGAUAUUUCUGGCAGCAGUAUGUACAGUCUAGACUGAAGAGGAGAAGGUGAAGCCAGGGAAGACUAACAACGAGUCCAGAGAUGGAGAGGAACAAACCUGACUGGGGUGGUGGCACAAAGGAGAGCAUGUCCUGUUCAUCCUUCCCUCCACAAAGCAGCUGGACAAGACCCAACCAGUGAUGGGAUCUCUGUAGCAUCAUUUUCCAAAGGAAGCUGGCACAUGACAAGUGCUGCCUCCAUUUCAAAAUCCAUUCAUGUACCGACAUUCGCCUACCCUCUCGGCCUUGAUCCCACUCUCCUGAGGUGCCUGAGGGAUCUUGCCACUGUGCGCAUGGCACUAAGGAACUCUGCCUGCCAGUCCCAGAACUGCUCUUGUCUCACUCUGUUACC